GGCCCCAUGGUCAAGCGGUUAAGACACCGCCCUUUCACGGCGGUAACUCGAGUUCAAUUCUCGAUGGGGUCACCA
RNAcentral lists this transfer RNA (75 nucleotides) under Clostridiales bacterium. RNAcentral describes it as "tRNA-Glu". It matches the Rfam family "tRNA". From Rfam's summary of the family: Transfer RNA (tRNA) molecules are approximately 80 nucleotides in length. Their secondary structure includes four short double-helical elements and three loops (D, anti-codon, and T loops). The record is from RNAcentral. Lineage: Bacteria; Bacillati; Bacillota; Clostridia; Eubacteriales.